GGUUGGUAUGAGCACAGUGGUGUUUACAACUAAUUGAUCUAACCAGUUACAUAUUCCUUUGUUCCUUCUCCACUCCCACUGUGUCCAGCCUUAA
RNAcentral lists this small RNA (94 nucleotides) under Otolemur garnettii (small-eared galago). RNAcentral's name for it is "Y RNA (ENSOGAG00000020207.1)". The record is from RNAcentral. Lineage: Eukaryota; Metazoa; Chordata; Mammalia; Primates; Galagidae.